UAAAAGAAAUUAUUUUUAGUACCUCCUGCUCAAUGAAAAUUAAAUAGCCGCAGUCCCCUGUGCUAAGGUAGCAUAAUCAUUUGCCUAAUAAUUAUAGGAUGGAAUGAAAGGUGUUACAUGUUAUCUUCUUUAUUAAAAAGGAAAUUUAAAAUUAUUAUUUAAGUAAUAACUCUUAAAUUAUUAGGGGGACGACAAGACCCUGACGAACUUUACACUAUGUUUAGCUGGGGCGGCAGACAAAUUACAUCUUUUCUUAUUCUUACUCUAACUCAACCUUAAAAUGAUAAUUAAGUUACCGCAGGGAUAACAGCAUAACCUUUUCCUGAAGACCUUAUACAAGAAAAUAUUUGUGACCUCGAUGUUGAAUUAAAAAUCUUUUAGAAGCAGAAUUCUAAAAAGAGAGUCUGUUCGACUCUUAAAUAUUU
RNAcentral lists this ribosomal RNA (425 nucleotides) under Aname grothi. RNAcentral describes it as "partial large subunit ribosomal RNA". It matches the Rfam family "Archaeal large subunit ribosomal RNA", at positions 1929 to 2668 of the family's 2987-position model. The record is from RNAcentral. Lineage: Eukaryota; Metazoa; Arthropoda; Arachnida; Araneae; Anamidae.